Molecule: ribosomal RNA, 184 nt
Filed under: Escherichia coli
Lineage: Bacteria; Pseudomonadati; Pseudomonadota; Gammaproteobacteria; Enterobacterales; Enterobacteriaceae
Description: partial 16S ribosomal RNA
Rfam family: Bacterial small subunit ribosomal RNA
Source: RNAcentral
AAAUUGAAGAGUUUGAUCAUGGCUCAGAUUGAACGCUGGCGGCAGGCCUAACACAUGCAAGUCGAACGGUAACAGGAAGAAGCUUGCUUCUUUGCUGACGAGUGGCGGACGGGUGAGUAAUGUCUGGGAAACUGCCUGAUGGAGGGGGAUAACUACUGGAAACGAUAGCUAAUACCGCAUAACG